GAUAACUGUCUUGUUGCAACAAAGUGCUCACAGUGAUGUCACUUUUUGAUCCUUUGAUGUCAGCUCUUUCUAUCAUUGUGAAGUAAAGUUCACCAAGCAUUGUAUUGUUCGUCCACUUAUAGGGAAUGUAAGCUAGGAUUAAAAUGUCUUAAAACAGGUU
This 160-nucleotide non-coding RNA is filed under the name Callipepla squamata (scaled quail). Its description in RNAcentral is "Eukaryotic large subunit ribosomal RNA". It matches the Rfam family "Eukaryotic large subunit ribosomal RNA", at positions 2825 to 2984 of the family's 3401-position model. Lineage: Eukaryota; Metazoa; Chordata; Aves; Galliformes; Odontophoridae. The record is from Rfam by way of RNAcentral.